ACGAACGCUGGCGGCGUGCUUAACACAUGCAAGUCGUACGGUAAGGCCCUUUCGGGGGUACACGAGUGGCGAACGGGUGAGUAACACGUGAGUAACCUGCCCACAACUUUGGGAUAACGCUAGGAAACUGGUGCUAAUACUGGAUAUGUGCUCCUGCUGCAUGGUGGGGGUUGGAAAGCUCCGGCGGUUGUGGAUGGACUCGCGGCCUAUCAGCUUGUUGGUGGGGUAGUGGCCUACCAAGGCGGCGACGGGUAGCCGGCCUGAGAGGGUGACCGGCCACAUUGGGACUGAGAUACGGCCCAGACUCCUACGGGAGGCAGCAGGGGGGAAUAUUGCACAAUGGGCGCAAGCCUGAUGCAGCAACGCCGCGUGCGGGAUGACGGCCUUCGGGUUGUAAACCGCUUUCAGCAGGGACGAAGCUUUUUGUGACGGUACCUGCAGAAGAAGCACCGGCUAACUACGUG
Molecule: ribosomal RNA, 464 nt
Filed under: uncultured bacterium
Lineage: Bacteria
Description: partial 16S ribosomal RNA
Rfam family: Bacterial small subunit ribosomal RNA
Source: RNAcentral